GGUCAGGAUGAACGCUAGCGACAGGCUAACACAUGCAAGUCGAGGGGCAGCAUAGAAGUAGCAAUACUUGGUGGCGACCGGCGCACGGGUGAGUAACGCGUAUGCAACCUACCUAUCAGAGGGGAAUAACCCGGCGAAAGUCGGACUAAUACCGCAUAAAACAGGGGCACCGCAUGGUGAUAUUUGUUAAAGAAAUUCGCUGAUAGAUGGGCAUGCGUUCCAUUAGGUAGUUGGUGAGGUAACGGCUCACCAAGCCGACGAUGGAUAGGGGAACUGAGAGGUUGGUCCCCCACACUGGUACUGAGACACGGACCAGACUCCUACGGGAGGCAGCAGUGAGGAAUAUUGGUCAAUGGGCGGGAGCCUGAACCAGCCAAGUCGCGUGAAGGAAGAAGGAUCUAUGGUUCGUAAACUUCUUUUGCAGGGGAAUAAAGUGCAGGACGUGUCCUGUUUUGUAUGUACCCUGAGAAUAAGGAUCGGCUAACUCCGUGCCAGCCGCUGC
RNAcentral lists this ribosomal RNA (502 nucleotides) under uncultured bacterium. RNAcentral's name for it is "bacterial SSU rRNA". It matches the Rfam family "Bacterial small subunit ribosomal RNA", at positions 22 to 518 of the family's 1533-position model. The record is from RNAcentral.